CAGAGUAGGGCCUGCUUCGUUAAGUGCCGCCAAAAUGGGGAGUUGUUUGGCGGACGAAGGCGCAAGCCGCGGUUGAAGGCCCGCACCCGCUG
This 92-nucleotide non-coding RNA is filed under the name bovine gut metagenome. RNAcentral describes it as "THF riboswitch". It matches the Rfam family "THF (Tetrahydrofolate) riboswitch aptamer". Rfam says of the family: THF riboswitch presents a pseudoknot that joins P1-P2 and the loop of P3 and two THF binding. The record is from RNAcentral.